Molecule: unclassified non-coding RNA, 5861 nt
Filed under: Hevea brasiliensis (rubber tree)
Lineage: Eukaryota; Viridiplantae; Streptophyta; Magnoliopsida; Malpighiales; Euphorbiaceae
Source: RNAcentral
AAUUAAUUUUAUGAUUAAAAAGAAAAAGGAUACAGGAGAUCACAUUACAAACUGGUUAUGAAGAACAAAUACUGGAGAAUUAAACAGACUCCAACUUAGAACCAUUUUGAAGACAUUCUCCAAAUACAGUACUCGAUUUACAUCUGCCUCUUAAGCAGGUUCUCUAAGAAUAAUAUGAAACAACUGUAAAUGUAAAGGGAAAAAACCAUUUGACUACCUGAUUUCUUUUACAAGAAUACAAAAAAGACUAGCACUACCUGAAAACAGCUCUAACAAUUAGAUUAUACACCAAUCAGCUCCUAAAGAAUUGAACCAUACUUACACACCUGCAAAUCAUCAAACAUACAGCUAACGAUAACAGCAAACCUUUAUAUGAUUUUAGCAUUCAGUCCGAAAAAUCAGCAAGGUUGCACAGGCGAUGAAACAAGCAGAAGCAACCAUGCUCGAUACAUUCUCUGUUUUUCCAGCUUAAGCUCCACCACCAGUUACAUUCCUCUCUUAAGUGCCCUUAAAAGCCAACUCGUUGAAUUCGAGAAGUUAAUCUCAUCAAAUGAAUGGAACUUGAAUGCCUAAAGCCUGCAAUUUUUUUCAACAGCUUGUGAUCCUAAUUACACAUCAUCAAAGUGAAAAUAAUCAGCAACCUUCAGAUGAUUUGAAAGUCGGAGAACUGCCGAACGCACAACUUCAGAGCUCGGAGACACAGAACUGGGAAGAUGGGGCAGGCAAACAGGCAGAUAUUGCUCAUUAUCUCUUUGAGGACAGAAGCAUGAUAGAACAGAAUGGCAGAAUAUAAAUCUGGAGACGCAUUCCAUAAACAUAUCUCAGUUAGCCAAAUUUAAUGAUAUACAAAACUAAAAAGAAUUAUUGUCAUAUUCAUUUCAUAAAAAAGAAGCCCAGUGAAGAGGGGGGUAGAAAAGGUCCUGCAUUUUCAUUAACAAAAUCUCAUCAUUGUAACUUUGUAAGAUUUAAAAUGAUUUCAGUCGCAAAAGGCCAACACUGUAUCCAUCAUAUUAUGUGAAGCAGAGUCACCCACUUUACCUGUUUGCAUAUAUCAUUUCUUAAGAGAAAUAUGUCCUUUAAGUGGUUUGAUAGCUCUUCAGUCAAAUGCUUGCUUAGGAAUACAAGAGGAAAGAGGUUCAAACCCCCACAACCCCUUCUCUUUUCUUAAUAUUAAAGACAGAAAUAUGUACCUGAUAAUAAGACGCCGCAGAAAUGGAUCAGAUAAAACUUGAGCCCAAACCAGAUCCAGGCUAUUUGAUGUACAUAAAAUCACCUCCCACUCAGAGAAUGCACUGGAGAGUAUCUCCUCAGCAUCAUUGUAAACAUCUGUAUCAGUAUCAAUAAAUGAGAGGCCAACCAUCUGGUAAAAAGCCUGUAGAGGAGCAGUUAAGAAAAAGGUAAACUGACUUCCAUUAUGUGUUGCAUCAACACCAGCUAGGUUCUUGAAUGCUGGCUUCAAAGGCGAAAAUAGCAAUGCAGAUGGCUCUCCCCUUUCUGCACCAUGCAAGACCUUGAAUGCAUGGCUGCUGUCACUAUCAAUAAUCAAGAAAAGUGGUCUUCUGGUAAAAGGAAUUAUAUCACCAGGAUAAAGGGUAUUUGAACCAGCAGUUCCUCUGGGACCUAGCCAUAGGUAAUUGUCAUGAUAGUCACUUGAAUCUCGCUUGCCAUUAGUAUGAGAUUCAGAUGCAUAACUAUUUUGUUCACUGGAUGUUCCAGAAACAACUUUGUUUUUAGAAGACUUCCAUGACCCUCCAGAGCUCUCCACCUGAGAAACAUUACUUUGGCCAGCCUUCCCUGAGACUGAUAUAUAUAUUAGCAUAAUGCCUUCAGGAGGGAGCUCCUCACAAAUUGUUGCCAUAACCUGCCAGCAAAUGAUAUAGUUAAACAUCAACUUUACUAUUAUAAAUCCAUAACAAAAAGGUAGAUGAAAAAAGUGCACAAGUAACAAAUAUUAAAAUGAUCAUAACUAAAUAUUAGCACUAGUUACUGAAUCUCAAAGAACCUAUAUAUUCUUUGUAUGCAUUAUAUGUAACCUGUAUUAAGGUUUUGCCAAUUGAUCCACUGAUAUUUCUUUACUUUUUACUGGCAAAACAAUGGACUAUGGACUAAAAUUGAUAGAAACCACUACUUACAAGAAAAAUAUAAUAUCUGAUCUUUAUAAAGUUGAACUGGGCAGAAUAUUAUAUAGACAACAAUAUGCCACAGCAUAUAUUGACUGUAAGCUACAUUUUACAUUGAGGCAGAAAUCAUUCACUAUUUCACCAACAACUACAAUAUCAAAAGAGGCCUGUUUACGAGGAAACAUUGAUUAUAACCACCUAAAUAUGAGUAGUAGCAUAAGCACUUCAAUAUGAAGGUAGAAAUACCAAUGCAACUGUCCCAUACAACGAAAGUUAACUUUAACAAACAUAAUCAAGUAAGAGCUUCAAAACUAACUGCUAGCAAAUGUGUCGCGGAAGGACGAUAAAGAAUAGCUUUCCUAGGAUUUCGUGGUAAAGUUGGAUCAGUGAAAUCUGCAGCCAGGUUUAUAUCUAUUAGUCCAGAAGCUCCAGAAUGAUCAGUUACAGUGCCAUUCUCGUAUGAUUCGACUGGAUGCUUUUGGUAGACUGAUUCAACUGGAUGCUUUUGGUAGAAAGACCCACUUGGCUCCCAUUCCAAACAUUGCAGCAUUCUAUAAGUGUCCAAAGUAAUUUCUGCAAAUUUAACCUCAUUCCGGUGAUAGCUUGUCAGGACUGCAUCUUUAAACUUUAGGACCUUCCUUGCAUGGAAACGGGCCACGUAUGGAUGAGAAGUUGGACGUGAAUCAAACUGGACACAAUAACGCAAAGGCCUGGUAUUUGCAAAGGCAGUAUCAACUUCCAAGAAGCGGACAAUUUCUUGCACCACUAGCUUCCACUCUUUGAAGUUUGUUUCCUGAAUAUAUAAUCCAGAAACUUGAUCAUGCCACUAGUAAGUAUCAGCUGAAAAUCAUACUACUGCUUGCUCUUAAGAGCAAUUGUGCACAAACACAUAUGGAAACAUGUAAAGUUUAGUGUUAACUUAGAAUAAUGACAUAUUUAAGAAAUGCCUCCAAAAUGUUCAUAAUCAAGCGUUUGUAAUGAUGUGAGGAUUUUACUGUCAGAGGUCAUUUCUAGUAAAUGAAAAAUUCACUUGCAUAUAAAUCUGAAAUUCCUCUAUUAUCAUCCCUAAACUUUCAGUUAACUUUCACUUCAAAAAGCUUAGAUUGCUCAAGUUAUGAGAAGGAAAUUUGGUUUUAUAAAUACAAAAAAGAAGGAAGUAAAUAUUAUGUAGUGAAAAAAUUGCACUCCUGUAUUUUUUCAUAGUAUGGAGACCAAUUCUUAUAAUUUUACAUAUCACCCUUGCCCAUCCUGACCUGACAGGUCAUACUAUUGUGAGAAAUACUCAAUCCAACCCAAAAGCCUAAGCUAACGAGUGGUAAGGCCCAAAAAUUAUAUUAAGCCUUAAUUUCUUAUGUGUUUUUGCAAUGUGGGAUUUUUAACUCUAAUAUCCCAUCUUGACACCUGCUAGGCCCUAUUAGCACAUGGCACAACUGGAUUGCUGACAUGGUGGAACAUAAGGACUGGAGAGACAAACGUGCCAAGCCCUAAUAACACACUCCAAUAGACAUGGCAGAUCGAGGGGAAACACAAAGAUUGGAGCGUAGAACUGGCUUUUAUACCAUGUCAGAAAAACUCAAUCCAACCCAAAAGCUUACACAUAAGGGUGGUAAGGCCCACAAAUUUUAUUAAGCGUUGAUCUCUUUUGCAUUUUUCAGAUAUGGGAUUUCUAACUCUAACAAAUAUUAUUCUCAAUCCCCCAUAAGACCAAUUAGCCAAUCAAUUAUUUGAGACAUAGCAAGUGAACUAGGCUAAAUAAAGUCAUAUUAAUGAUUCUGAGCAUUUUUUUAGUGACCUUUGCUAAUGCUGCACAAAUAUGUAACAGAGUUGGAAAAUUAAGGGGAUACAAGCAGAGUUAUGUCCCCUUCACCAUGUCACUUUCAGCCUUUCACUUCUUCAAGUCUCAUAAAAGCGAUCAGAAUUUCAGGAGUUAAACUUUCAUAUGAUCCAAACACCCACUAUACUUUGACUUUUGGCCUUGACAUGAUUAUAAGUUCUUUAAUUUGAAGAUCUAUACUUUUUCUAUCAGUCACACUCACAUGCCAAAUUGUCUGAACUCAUAAGGCGUCAUCAUAUUAGCACUACUUUUUGCCCCUUAUCUUCCUCUAAAAAAUGGAACCAAAAACCCACAUGGCCAGCCAGUUGCCCAGCAAUCCAGAUAACUCAACCCUUGCAGAGGUUUUUUCCCCGUUCGAUGGGAAGUUUUAACUUCAUUAAGAAACAAAGAAAUCAUUACAUCCAAGGCAAUGAAGGACUUGAUAGCCUCUAAGACAUCUAUACCUCACGCAUGCUCAAAGUCCAAAGUUUUUCCUCACUUCCAAUAGCACACCGACAACUGUAAAAGCUCCUCUAUUCACAUGAAAAACCUAAAAGCCAGAGAUCGGAUCAGCUAUAUAAAUUGCAUCACAUUUUAAAAAUAGGGCAUAUCUUCCUUGGGUCAAAGGAAAGAAUUUGCAGUUUUGAGAUUUCCACUCACCAAUUCAAUUCUCAGUAGCUCCGGCCUUGCACCAAAAGAAUACCCAAAACAAGUAGCCAGGCCUCAGCUAGCUUUAAUGAAUAUUAAGAUACAUUAUAUUUGGUUCUCUAAAUUGCCCUUUUCAUUCAUAAAGACAAGUUUUCACUCCUGCCUUAACCUUUACCAAUUUUUAAAACAGUAAUUAAUUCAACAACCUAGUUGAAUCACAAGUAUCCUUCCUCCAAAAUUGCAUAAAUGGGCAAAAACAGCAAAAGAUAGAGUCUGAUGAAUCAACUGUGCUUUACUAUGAUAUGCAAUGCAUAGUAAUCAUGCAUACUAACGGAAAUCACAUACCUUGAAUUGCAUUAAACUGAAUGUCAUGUCUAGCUUGCAGGUCCCAUGACACCUACUUGAUGGAUCUAAAUAAUAUGACUUCGCAUAAAAUAGCAUCUUCUAGAUUAGCAAACAAUCAAAACUCCAAAAAGAAAAAAUAAAGAAAGAAAGAAAAUUCUCAAGAUAUCCCCUUCAUCUCCUAGGACUGAAAAAUAGCUAAACCUCCCUGGCACUGUAAAGGCUCCAUUUGUAGAAAAGCUAAAAUUAGUUGUCUUGUCUGUUCUGUGGUUUUGAUCUUUCAAGAAAACCAAAUGCAAAUCUAGUUUUCUAGCAAGAACUGAGCUCUGUUAGUAGCAAAAAUUAAAUAAUUCUCUGUUCCAUGGUUUUAAUUUUCCAAGUAAACCAAAAAACCCUGGGAAUCUAGUUUUAUCAAAUAUGAACUAAUUUCCACAUAAAUUAAACAGCAAAAUAACAUUAAAAAAAAAAUCACAGUUUUUUCCCCAGCAACCAAACAAAUACCCGAUUCGACUCAAUCCCACCCAAAAUACCAAUUCUGCGAAUGAGCCUAAAAAAUUGUCCAAUUUCACAAAGACGGCACACUGAUUGCUAAUCAAGCAAAGCUUACCUAAGCCUCGGUCCUGCAAUCAUUAAAAAAGAGCUAAUUCUCACCAAAAGAAAUUUCACCAUCUCCAAUUCCACAAAUUCCCUCAUUUCAUGAGUUCAUCUCACUAAAAACUACCAGCUAAAACAGAAGGCUACCACAUAAAUCUAAAACAGAACUUCAGUGCGAAUUUUUUAGUCUCACUACCAAGCAAUUAUUAAAAAAAAAAAAUUAAUACCAAAACAAAGCAAAGACCUAAAGAGACAAAUAAUUGCAGCUAAAAGCACCAAAUAAACAUAGUCAUACACAUUACAGCACUAAAAGAUUUACAAAUAACAAUAAUAAUAAUAAUGAU